UGGGGAAUAUUGGACAAUGGGCGCAAGCCUGAUCCAGCCAUGCCGCGUGUGUGAAGAAGGCCUUAGGGUUGUAAAGCACUUUCAGUGGGGAGGAAGGGUGUUGUGUUAAUAGCACGGCAUUUUGACGUUACCCACAGAAGAAGCACCGGCUAACUCCGUGCCAGCAGCCGCGGUAAUACGGAGGGUGCAAGCGUUAAUCGGAAUUACUGGGCGUAAAGCGCACGCAGGCGGCUUUUUAAGUCGAUGUGAAAGCCCCGUGCUCAACCUGGGAAUUGCAUCUGAUACUGGGAAGCUAGAGUAUGUGAGAGGGGGGUAGAAUUCCAAGUGUAGCGGUGAAAUGCGUAGAGAUUUGGAGGAAUACCAGUGGCGAAGGCGGCCCCCUGGCACAAUACUGACGCUCAGGUGCGAAAGCGUGGGGAGCAAAACAGGAUUAGAUACCCUGGUAGUCCACGCCGUAAACGAUGUCUACUAGAUGUUCGUGGUCUUGUACCGUGAGUAUCGCAGCUAACGCAUUAAGUAGACCGCCUGGGGAGUACGGUCGCAAGAUUAAAAACUCAAAGGAAUUGAC
RNAcentral lists this ribosomal RNA (568 nucleotides) under uncultured bacterium. Its description in RNAcentral is "partial 16S ribosomal RNA". It matches the Rfam family "Bacterial small subunit ribosomal RNA", at positions 355 to 914 of the family's 1533-position model. The record is from RNAcentral.